GUUGCUGGGCAGCAAGGCUCGAAGGGCCGGCUCUGUGCCAUAUCUCAAUAAAUAAAUAGAUCUCUUCCUACCUUUAAAAGUCUGUUAAAAGCAUCGGUUUAUCCACUCAACAAGGAAAGCAACUAAAUACUUUGUUAACCACACUUUUCUGGCAAACAAUCAUUGUAAGUAAUACUCUGCAACUUCCCUUUGGACUUGGAGCAAUUCAAUGUGGAAGAAAGGAGGCAAAGCAAGGCGGCGGGCCGGUUGCCGAGAGCGUGGAAGAGCAUGAAAGAUCUGGCACAGGCUGAAUCAAAGCUGCGGAGUACAGGCACCAAACGUGACUGAGCACCAUCUGCAGAUGGAGAUUCACAGGCCAAAGAGAAGUCCGGCUUAUCCAAGUGGCAGAACCUGUUGUUCAGAUGGAGAGUUUAUCCCAGAUUUGGAGUUUGCCCAAAGGAGACUCAUGGCAAGAAAGCAGGACAAGGCUUAUUGGUGUUUGUAGGAACUAAAAAAUGAGGGAGAGGGAGAUAUCGCUCCUGCGACAGUGAGAGGGGAGACCAACAGCUCGCUGUUUCCAUGUUACAAUAGCUUGACCAAAUGGACAGAGGAAGUUAUUCACGGAUGUAUUUUCUGAUUCAUGAAUGAUGCCAAUUCCUUCA
Hypanus sabinus (Atlantic stingray) is the source of this 641-nucleotide long non-coding RNA. RefSeq lists it as uncharacterized. Lineage: Eukaryota; Metazoa; Chordata; Chondrichthyes; Myliobatiformes; Dasyatidae. The record is from RefSeq and is a predicted model, not a curated record. The transcript is spliced from 3 exons.